Molecule: ribosomal RNA, 230 nt
Filed under: uncultured bacterium
Lineage: Bacteria
Description: partial 16S ribosomal RNA
Rfam family: Bacterial small subunit ribosomal RNA
Source: RNAcentral
CGGGGUGGAGUAAUGUCUGGGAAACUGCCUGAUGGAGGGGGGUAACUACUGGAAACGGUAGCUAAUACCGCAUAACGUCGCAAGACCAAAGAGGGGGACCUUCGGGCCUCUUGCCAUCGGAUGUGCCCAGAUGGGAUUAGCUAGUAGGUGGAGUAACGGCUCACCUAGGCGACGAUCCCUAGCUGGUCUGAGAGGAUGACCAGCCACACUGGAACUGAGACACGGUCCAG